Molecule: ribosomal RNA, 601 nt
Filed under: uncultured archaeon
Lineage: Archaea
Description: bacterial SSU rRNA
Rfam family: Archaeal small subunit ribosomal RNA
Source: RNAcentral
ACGGGGCGCAGCAGGCGCGAAAACUCCGCAAUGCGCGAAAGCGUGACGGGGGAACCCCAAGUGCCGUUGGUCUUUUGACUGACGGCUUUUCGGGAGUCUAAGAAGCUCCCGGAAUAAGGGCUGGGCAAGACUGGUGCCAGCCGCCGCGGUAACACCAGCAGCCCAAGUGGUGGUCGCGUUUAUUGGGCCUAAAGCGCUCGUAGCCGGGCUUGCAAGUCCCUUGUGAAAUCGGACGGCUCAACCGUUCGGCGUGCAAGGGAUACUGCUAGCCUUGGGAUCGGGAGAGGUCGGGGGUACUCUGGGGGUAGCGGUGAAAUGCUGUAAUCCCUGGGGGGCCACCAGUGGCGAAGGCGCCCGACCAUAACGGAUCCGACGGUGAGGGGCGAAAGCUAGGGGGGCGAACGGGAUUAGAUACCCCGGUAGUCCUAGCAGUAAAGGAUGCGGGCUGGGUGUCAGGCGCCCUUCGAGAGCGCCUAGUGCCGUAGGGAAGCCGUUAAGCCCGCCGCCUGGGAAGUACGGUCGCAAGGCUGAAACUUAAAGAAAUUGGCGGGGGAGCACUACAAGGGGUGGGACCUGCGGUUUAAUUGGAUUCAACGCCGGA